AUUGAACGCUGGCGGCAGGCCUAACACAUGCAAGUCGAACGGUAACAGGAAGCAGCUUGCUGCUUCGCUGACGAGUGGCGGACGGGUGAGUAAUGUCUGGGAAGCUGCCUGAUGGAGGGGGAUAACUACUGGAAACGGUAGCUAAUACCGCAUAAUGUCGCAAGACCAAAGAGGGGGACCUUCGGGCCUCUUGCCAUCGGAUGUGCCCAGAUGGGAUUAGCUUGUUGGUGGGGUAUCGGCUCACCAAGGCGACGAUCCCUAGCUGGUCUGAGAGGAUGACCAGCCACACUGGAACUGAGACACGGUCCAGACUCCUACGGGAGGCAGCAGUGGGGAAUAUUGCACAAUGGGCGCAAGCCUGAUGCAGCCAUGCCGCGUGUAUGAAGAAGGCCUUCGGGUUGUAAAGUACUUUCAGCGGGGAGGAAGGGAGUAAAGUUAAUACCUUUGCUCAUUGACGUUACCCGCAGAAGAAGCACCGGCUAACUCCGUG
Molecule: ribosomal RNA, 490 nt
Filed under: uncultured bacterium
Lineage: Bacteria
Description: partial 16S ribosomal RNA
Rfam family: Bacterial small subunit ribosomal RNA
Source: RNAcentral